RNAcentral lists this ribosomal RNA (497 nucleotides) under uncultured bacterium. RNAcentral describes it as "partial 16S ribosomal RNA". It matches the Rfam family "Bacterial small subunit ribosomal RNA", at positions 28 to 507 of the family's 1533-position model. The record is from RNAcentral.
GAUGAACGCUGGCGGCGUGCCUAAUACAUGCAAGUCGAGCGAACAGAUGAGGAGCUUGCUCCUCUGACGUUAGCGGCGGACGGGUGAGUAACACGUGGAUAACCUACCUAUAAGACUGGGAUAACUUCGGGAAAGCGGAGCUAAUACCGGAUAAUAUAUUGAACCGCAUGGUUCAAUAGUGAAAGACGGUUUUGCUGUCCCUUAUAGAUGGAUCCGCGCCGCAUUAGCUAGUUGGUAAGGUAACGGCUUACCAAGGCAACGAUGCGUAGCCGACCUGAGAGGGUGAUCGGCCACACUGGAACUGAGACACGGUCCAGACUCCUACGGGAGGCAGCAGUAGGGAAUCUUCCGCAAUGGGCGAAAGCCUGACGGAGCAACGCCGCGUGAGUGAUGAAGGUCUUCGGAUCGUAAAACUCUGUUAUUAGGGAAGAACAAAUGUGUAAGUAACUAUGCACGUCUUGACGGUACCUAAUCAGAAAGCCACGGCUAACUACGUG